This 468-nucleotide ribosomal RNA is filed under the name uncultured bacterium. RNAcentral's name for it is "partial 16S ribosomal RNA". It matches the Rfam family "Bacterial small subunit ribosomal RNA", at positions 28 to 507 of the family's 1533-position model. The record is from RNAcentral.
GACGAACGCUGGCGGCGUGCUUAACACAUGCAAGUCGAACGGAAAGGCCCUGCUUUUGUGGGGUGCUCGAGUGGCGAACGGGUGAGUAACACGUGAGUAACCUGCCCUUGACUUUGGGAUAACUUCAGGAAACUGGGGCUAAUACCGGAUAGGAGCUCCUGCUGCAUGGUGGGGGUUGGAAAGUUUCGGCGGUUGGGGAUGGACUCGCGGCUUAUCAGCUGGUUGGUGUGGUAGUGGCUUACCAAGGCUUUGACGGGUAGCCGGCCUGAGAGGGUGACCGGCCACAUUGGGACUGAGAUACGGCCCAGACUCCUACGGGAGGCAGCAGUGGGGAAUAUUGCACAAUGGGCGGAAGCCUGAUGCAGCAACGCCGCGUGCGGGAUGACGGCCUUCGGGUUGUAAACCGAUUUCGCCUGUGACGAAGCGUGAGUGACGGUAAUGGGUAAAGAAGCACCGGCUAACUACGUG